CCGCCCGUCACACCAUGGGAGUGAAUUGCACCAGAAGCAGCUUGCCUAACCUUCGGGAGGGUAGCUACCACGGUGUGCUUCAUGACUGGGGUG
This 93-nucleotide ribosomal RNA is filed under the name uncultured bacterium. Its description in RNAcentral is "partial 16S ribosomal RNA". It matches the Rfam family "Bacterial small subunit ribosomal RNA", at positions 1390 to 1482 of the family's 1533-position model. The record is from RNAcentral.